This 323-nucleotide ribosomal RNA is filed under the name uncultured Candidatus Cardinium sp. RNAcentral describes it as "bacterial SSU rRNA". It matches the Rfam family "Bacterial small subunit ribosomal RNA", at positions 534 to 859 of the family's 1533-position model. The record is from RNAcentral. Lineage: Bacteria; Pseudomonadati; Bacteroidota; Cytophagia; Cytophagales; Amoebophilaceae.
GCAAGCGUUAUCCGGUUUUAUUGGGUUUAAAGGGUGCGUAGGCGGCUUAUUAAGUCAGUUGUGAAAUCCUAGUGCUUAACGCUAGAACUGCGAUUGAUACUAUUAGGCUUGAGUUAAGAAGAGGUAGGCAGAAUUUAUGGUGUAGUAGUGAAAUGCUUAGAUAUCAUAAGGAAUACCAAUAGCGUAGGCAGCUUACUGGUCUUUAACUGACGCUGAGGCACGAAAGCGUGGGGAGCAAACAGGAUUAGAUACCCUGGUAGUCCACGCCGUAAACGAUGAUCACUCGAUAUACAUGAUGCGUCAUGUGUGUCUAAGCGAAAGCG